GUGGGGAAUAUUGCACAAUGGGCGCAAGCCUGAUGCAGCCAUGCCGCGUGUAUGAAGAAGGCCUUCGGGUUGUAAAGUACUUUCAGCGGGGAGGAAGGCGAYGGGGUUAAUAACCCYGUCGAUUGACGUUACCCGCAGAAGAAGCACCGGCUAACUCCGUGCCAGCAGCCGCGGUAAUACGGAGGGUGCAAGCGUUAAUCGGAAUUACUGGGCGUAAAGCGCACGCAGGCGGUCUGUUAAGUCAGAUGUGAAAUCCCCGGGCUUAACCUGGGAACUGCAUUUGAAACUGGCAGGCUUGAGUCUUGUAGAGGGGGGUAGAAUUCCAGGUGUAGCGGUGAAAUGCGUAGAGAUCUGGAGGAAUACCGGUGGCGAAGGCGGCCCCCUGGACAAAGACUGACGCUCAGGUGCGAAAGCGUGGGGAGCAAACAGGAUUAGAUACCCCCGG
This 445-nucleotide ribosomal RNA is filed under the name Pantoea agglomerans. RNAcentral describes it as "bacterial SSU rRNA". The record is from RNAcentral. Lineage: Bacteria; Pseudomonadati; Pseudomonadota; Gammaproteobacteria; Enterobacterales; Erwiniaceae.